AAUAAUGAUGGACCAACAGAACACUGAGUGAUGAAAAUGAGGGGUCAAUAUGAUGAAGCCAAAUGCUUUUCUUCUAAGAAACAAAGGUCACAGCUCUAAUAUUUGUCUUUGAGAAUCUGCAGCAACAACCAGUCUCUUCACAAAUUUGCAGCUCUUGUCUCUCUGCUUCUGCUGAGCCAUGGUGGGUUAACUGAUGUGAACAAGCUUAAAUUUUUGAUACUCCAAUCAGAUCCUAGGAUCAUACGAUCUUAAUUCAAUUCGUACCUUAAAGUAGUUGUAAAUCAAGAAUUUGAACUUAAAAAUUAGUAAACUCUAAAAUGAAAAGGUGAAUACUUCAAUUGAUGCCAAAUAGUUAGUUUUUCAAUUUGAAAAGAUGUCAGUUAGAAAGAUAAAUAGAGCUAGCACUUGCUAUAAGGGAUUCUUACUAUAGGUGUUGGAGUCAGUCUGUCUGAGUUUGUAGUUGCUUCUAUAUCAACAUUAAUUCCUCAAGUAAGGGAAACAUUGUUUGAGUUCUUCGUCUGAUUAUGUGCUGCAUUAGCCACAGAACUAGUUUUUCCUCCAUGAGGUAAAAUUUUGGUGGGGUUUUCAGGUCUGUGCAGCUGCUGAGGAGUUUCCGCGGCAGUUGCACUGUUAACUAAGCAGGGGCAAGAGACUGAAGAUGUGAUAAAGUGAGCAUUUUUGGACCAUAGUAUUAACGGCAUGGGAGUUUUUGGAUCAAAGUACUGUCAGGAGUGAUGUUUUUAUUCAAUUUCGCUUAGUUUAAGGACAUUUUUGAACUUUUAUCCUUUUUUU
Molecule: long non-coding RNA, 792 nt
Filed under: Solanum tuberosum (potato)
Lineage: Eukaryota; Viridiplantae; Streptophyta; Magnoliopsida; Solanales; Solanaceae
Description: long non-coding RNA (STUB_LNC010387)
Source: RNAcentral